This is a long non-coding RNA of Notothenia coriiceps (black rockcod), 787 nucleotides long. RefSeq lists it as uncharacterized. The record is from RefSeq and is a predicted model, not a curated record. Lineage: Eukaryota; Metazoa; Chordata; Actinopteri; Perciformes; Nototheniidae. The transcript is spliced from 2 exons.
GGAGACUAUGGUCAGCGAUCUGAGCGCCAAGGCUAAGAACAUAACGGAGUCGGUGACAAAGGAGGGUGAGAUCUCAGUGUACAUCUGUUAACCUGGCCCUCAACCAUGAAAAGGACCAGUGAGAAACACGUCGUGUGUGUGUGUGUGUGUGUGUGUGUGUGUGUGUGUGUGUGUGUGUGUGUGUGUGUGUGUGUGUGUGUGUGUGAUUGAAAGAGUGACUAAGUGAGAGUAUGUGUGGGUUUGUUGUUUUCUGCUUCUGUCUUGCCCUCCCUUCCAUUUCCGUGACGAGUGAGGCUGAGCCCCCGCGCCACGUGGUGAACUGAAGCUUAACUCUCGUGAAAACAUUCAAAGCUUGUCUGUGCGUCACCAUUAGUUUACGGCCAUCGGUACUGCCAAGACAAUCUGAAAAACUGUGACCUUUUUAUGUGACAUCCAUUUCUAUGUUUGACAUACCGUGUUGAUGGCAGACAUUACGUUUGUGUGCCUGUAAGCUCUCAGCAGUCAAUGUUAUUGUGUCUAUCGAAGCCAUUUGUGACAGAAAACAGCACAGGUUACAAAGCAGGUUGUUUUUUAAUUACCGAUAACAACGAUUGUUAGCAUUGUUAAUCAAAACUGGAACUUGUCAUUAAUGUGUUCUUGCUCUCUAAAGCUCUACUCCUUUAUUUGCUAAUACGUGUUUAAAGUCUGCGUGAGCUAAUGGGAGGUUUUCAAUCUUAACUAUUGCCUUUGAUAUGUCUUAAUUUAUCUUCUCACUAUGAUGAAAUAAUAAAACUGGAACCUUAAUGAA